Long non-coding RNA from Choloepus didactylus (southern two-toed sloth), 1335 nucleotides. RefSeq lists it as uncharacterized. The transcript has 3 exons. Lineage: Eukaryota; Metazoa; Chordata; Mammalia; Pilosa; Megalonychidae. The record is from RefSeq and is a predicted model, not a curated record.
UCCACCGGAUCCCUUCUGAGGGCGGCCCCUUCUGAGGGUAGUAGCAGUAGCUUUGGGGUGGGGGCCCUCACCCUGAGUAGCUGUAGGGAUUCAGGGAUGGACUUCCGGUCUGGGGAAAAGGGAAGAGUCCGGCCACAGGCGGAAGUGUGCUCCUACUCCAGGAAAUCUCCUGCCAUGCUCCUCGGGAUCCAGGGCAAUGUUACACGGUCUGCGGUGGACCAAGCUCCCUGACUUUAUGAAAAAACCAGGAGGCAGAGCAGAGGUGUCCCCGCCGUGAGGUUGGGGAGACCCGCAGAGAACAGAAGGUGCGCCGCCUCCUUGCACCCCUUGAGCUGGUCAAGCAUUACAUGCUCAGCCAACAUUUCCUGAGCACCUACUGUGUGCCAGGCUGGGGAUUCAGAGGGAAAUCAGACCCUGCCUUAUUCUCAAGGGGACCUGGACCUGAAAGAACUAACAACGAUCCAGGGUGGCUGGGAGAGCUGCACAGCUCAGGCUGAAGGUGUCAAUUCUGGGGAAGUCAGGGGAGGCUUCCUGGAGGAGGUGGCAGGGCAGCAGUGAAGACUUCCCAGAGGAAGCAACGUUUGCUGGGUCUUACAAGACAAACAAGGGUUGCGUCUGUCUUCCUGUUCACACCGACAGGCUGGUUGUCAGCUGCCGCGGCAUCUGUUCUUGUCAGAAAAAUUAAGAAGGAAGUGAAAGAAGCUGCAGCGCUGGAACUGCCGAAUGGACAGAGAAUCUGGGCCUGGCCCCUCCUGGGAAAGUGUCCCGCAGGGGGACCUAGGGGAUCCGAGUCCGGAGCAGACCCAGGAAUCACUUCUCUGAGCAGGGGACUCAGCUCCUGGGUGUGAUGGAGCCUGAGGAGGGUGGGCCUCCGAUGGAGCCGGCAGGAGAGGUCUCCAUUCAUUCAUUGAUUCCAGGCUCCUGAUCCUUGCCCUUGGAAAGUUCCAAUCAGGUUUGGGUAUCAGACACAGAAACACAGAAAUAUUAUAAGGGGGAGGACUGAAGGCACCUCCCCGGGUCUCUUCCUCAUUCUCUCCAUGGCCCCACUGCCAGGAUACCACUGAGGAAAGGACGGCUGUGAUCACCCAGGCCCGAGAUGGCCGGGAGCAGAGAGGGGGCUGGGGCAUAGCAGGAGGGCGCAGAGCUGAGGGUUUGGGGACCUCUCUCCAGGACCCUAUCCUCCGGUUUCCCCCAACCCCUCAGCUGGCUGGGAGAAGCGGGCCGCGGAGGCAGCUGGCGCGGCCGGCGCUGUCCAGCAGGGGGCAGCCGCGGUGCGCGAAUGGGCACGCCCACCCCCGCGAAGCCGCUGCCUGCGCCGCCCGGACUUAGACAAGG